CUCCUCUCCCCCGAUGCUCGCUCCCCCUCGGCGGCAGCGGCCUCUCGCCGGUGCCCUGACGGGCACUGCCCGCUCUACGCUUCUCGCCGGGCCGCCCCGGCCGCCGGAGGGCCCCCGCCGCAGAGCUCCGGUGAACGGUGCUGGUGUUUCGUGCCUUCGGCCUCUGGGCCUUCCGAGUUGUUCGUUUAGUGUUGAGAAGAAUCGCCAGAUCCCUGUUCCCCUCAGAAUGUCUGCAGGUGACUAUGAGGAAAUUCUCAAGUACUAUGAAUUGCACGAAACAAUUGGAACAGGUGGGUUUGCAAAGGUAAAACUGGCACGACAUCUUCUCACUGCUGAAAAAGUUGCAAUAAAAAUCAUGGACAAAGCUGCUCUAGGGGAUGACUUGCCUCGUGUUAAAAUAGAAAUUGAUGCCAUGAAGAACUUAAGUCACCAGCAUAUUUGCCGGCUGUAUCAGGUGAUAGAGACAUCCAAGAAAAUAUUCAUGGUCUUAGAGUACUGUCCUGGAGGAGAGCUGUUUGAUUACAUAAUUUCUAAGGACCGCCUUUCAGAAGAGGAAGCUCGUGUAUUUUUUCGGCAGAUUGUUUCAGCAAUUGCUUAUGUUCACGGCAAGGGAUAUGCCCACAGGGAUCUCAAACCAGAAAAUCUGCUGAUUGACAAGGAACAUAAUUUGAAGCUGAUAGACUUUGGACUUUGUGCAAAGCCAAAGGGUGGCCUUGAUUACCAUCUGAACACAUGCUGUGGAAGCCCAGCUUAUGCAGCACCAGAGCUGAUUCAGGGCAAAGCUUAUAUUGGCUCAGAGGCAGAUAUUUGGAGCAUGGGAGUACUGCUGUAUGCUCUACUGUGUGGCUUUCUCCCCUUUGAUGAUGCCAAUGUCAUGGUUACCUACAAGAAGAUAAUGAGAGGAAAAUACAGUAUUCCAAAGUGGCUCUCUCCUGGCAGUAUACUACUACUCAACCAAAUGCUGCAGGUGGACCCAAAGAAGCGGAUUAGGGUUAGAGAUCUAUUAAGUCACCCUUGGCUCAUGCAAGGUUAUUCUGAUGCUGUUCAGUGGCAAAGUAAAUACCCACUUGGACACAUUGAUGAAGACUGUGUAACAGAGCUUUCUGUGUUUCAUAAACAGAGCAGGGAGAGUAUAUUGGAAUUAAUAUCAGAGUGGAAAUAUGACCACAUGUCGGCAACAUAUUUCUUGCUUCAAUCCAAGAAGGCUCGUGGCAAGCAUGUUUGCUUAAGGGUUCCAUGUCUAACAGGGCAUGCCAGUACAACACAAUCAGCAGGCCUCAAGUGUGAGAAACCUAUGACACAGGAAGAUAUGCCAGGCUGCAGUGAAGUGCCAUGUGCAUUUGGAUCCACGGAGUUUUCUGAUGCAUCUUCACUGUUUGAAGAAUCUCCGUUAGAAGAAUAUAAUCUAAAUACUUGCAGAACAAAGCAGCAUUCAAGGCAUGAUGCUCAACUGGAUGAUAUGGAAUUCACACUGUCAAAUCCAGUGACAAGAAAAGUGGCAUCAAAGAAGCAUGAAAACAAAGAGAAUGUUGAUACAGAGUCAGCUUUAAGAAAUGAAAUGCUCUUUGCGCUUCCUGCUCCAAAGACUCCUUUUGCAAAGAAUCAGAUUGAGGCGCAAGUACAAACCAUACCCUGUCAGACACCUGGCUUCCAAGAGAGCCAGUUCACUACUGUCUCCCCAAUUAAGAAACCCACAAACCCAGCAAACACAGAUGAAUUGACAGCUGUUGAGGUUCUUCCCGAAAAAAGGUGUCAUUCAGUGGAAUUGGAUCUCAACCUAGCUCACAUGGAUGGUAACCAAAAGAAGAGAAAAGCCAAAAUAUUUGGAAGUAUUGAGAGAGGCCUAGAUAAAGUGAUCACAAUGCUGACACCAAGCAAAAAGAAACGAUUCACUAGAGAUUGUCCAAGGAAACUUAAGCCUGUGUAAAUGGAAUUCAGCUACUGUAUUGCAGUUGGAAGCUUUUCCAAGAUGCACUUGUCAGAGGCAAGGUGGCAGUCUUACAAGUUCAGGACAUAUGUUGGGCUACAAACCUGACCAACUCAUCGGACAAGAGUCCAGACUGUGCAAAUAAUUCAAGAGCCUGAGCAACUGGAAACAAAAGCUAGACCUUCUGUCUCUAAAAGCUUUUAUCCUUCUGCAUCAGUUUCCCUUGUCCAUACUACAUGCAAAGUUACUGAUGCGUGUCUAGGGACACUGGAGUAUAAUAGGGGAAGAUAGAACUGUACCUCACACUGGUACAGCAGUUAUGGUAGGGAGUUGCAUAUGUUCUCAGCUGAAUAAGAGCUGUAAGAACCAGUCUUGUAUUCUGGCUUUGCAUCCUCAGCCUGUGUUCAUUUCUCAUGCUGUUUUAUGAUCUUGUCUUUUCUCUCUGCUUCUGUGACCAGAAGCUAGAUAGAGUGUUUGUGGUGUAUUACAGUUGGCAUACGCUUUCAUUACAUAUGAGUGUCUGAAAGUUGUUCAAGAAGUCACUUAUUGGACAAGUUCAUUAUAUGAAGUAUUAGAUACAAGACCCCUGUAACAGUGAAAUUAUGAGUAGUAAGUUACCUUUUUUCUUUAAACAUGGUGACGCUUUAGUCCUAGAAAAGCUGCAUGGCGCUGUGCCUGUUCCUUGAUAUCGGAAGUGCUCAGUCUCAGCUAGGCAACACACUAUCGGUGAUGUCCCAACUGUGGAGUGUGCAGCAGGGUGCUCUAAGCAGAGUUGUGUGGCUAUCUUCUGCACUCCUCUGCAGGAAUCACCUCUGGCUGUGUACAAGGCUUCUAAUAGCCUCUGUGCUGCCCUGGCCCAUCACUGCUACUUUGGAUUUUAUGAUGGGUUGUAGUUGGGACGUGCUUUGAUAUUAAUGGUCCAGCAGUUGUUGUUUAGUGUUCCUGUUGCUACUACAAUGUCUUAAUUAUGAUAAUAUUGGGAAGUUGAAGCAUUUGUCACUAUGUUCUGAAGCAAAGCUGUUCCAAAGCUUUCUUUAUGAAAACUUUUCAUAAUGUUUUCAGUUUUAGGAGAAAGAUUUUUUUUUUUCUUGACCCUUUUUUUUUUUAACGAGCUCACUACUUUUAGGCACACUGUAAUGUUACCACCAUUCAGCGACUGAAUCCAGAUGAACUGUUGAAUGAAGUAAUGGCCGUUCUUUCAAAGCAGCAUGUGGAAUAUGUUCAGAAGGGUUAUACCCUGAAAUGUCAAACACGGUCAAAUUUUGGCAAAGUAACUGUGGCAUUUGAGCUAGAAGUGUGUCGACUCAGUAAAUCUGAAGAAGUGGGUAUCCGGCG
This is an RNA transcript of Aquila chrysaetos chrysaetos, 3262 nucleotides long. It is a transcript of the gene named maternal embryonic leucine zipper kinase, with no coding region annotated. The record is from RefSeq and is a predicted model, not a curated record. NCBI's taxonomy places the organism in Eukaryota, Metazoa, Chordata, Aves, Accipitriformes, Accipitridae. The transcript has 18 exons.